Thermococcus onnurineus NA1 is the source of this 138-nucleotide non-coding RNA. The record is from Rfam. Lineage: Archaea; Methanobacteriati; Methanobacteriota; Thermococci; Thermococcales; Thermococcaceae.
GGGGGCGUGGUGUAGCCUGGUCCAUCAUCGCGGGCUCCAGAGGUAUGAGGACUUGCGGGUUUGCUGAUUUGGGGAUGAGCCUUUGGAGCUCUGACCCGGAGAAACCCGCGGACCGGGGUUCAAAUCCCCGCGCCCCCA